This 687-nucleotide ribosomal RNA is filed under the name uncultured Bacillota bacterium. RNAcentral's name for it is "bacterial SSU rRNA". It matches the Rfam family "Bacterial small subunit ribosomal RNA", at positions 8 to 670 of the family's 1533-position model. Lineage: Bacteria; Bacillati; Bacillota. The record is from RNAcentral.
AGAGUUUGAUCCUGGCUCAGGACGAACGCUGGCGGCGUGCCUAAUACAUGCAAGUGGAACGCAUGAUUGAUACCGGAGCUUGCUCCACCAUUAAUCAUGAGUCGCGAACGGGUGAGUAACGCGUAGGUAACCUACCUCAUAGCGGGGGAUAACUAUUGGAAACGAUAGCUAAUACCGCAUAACAGUAUUUAUCGCAUGGUAAAUGCUUGAAAGGAGCAAUUGCUUCACUAUGAGAUGGACCUGCGUUGUAUUAGCUAGUUGGUGGGGUAACGGCUCACCAAGGCAUCGGUACAUAGCCGACCUGAGAGGGUGAUCGGCCACACUGGGACUGAGACACGGCCCAGACUCCUACGGGAGGCAGCAGUAGGGAAUCUUCGGCAAUGGGGGGAACCCUGACCGAGCAACGCCGCGUGAGUGAAGAAGGUUUUCGGAUCGUAAAGCUCUGUUGUAAGAGAAGAACGUGUGUGAGAGUGGAAAGUUCACACAGUGACGGUAACUUACCAGAAAGGGACGGCUAACUACGUGCCAGCAGCCGCGGUAAUACGUAGGUCCCGAGCGUUGUCCGGAUUUAUUGGGCGUAAAGCGAGCGCAGGCGGUUUGAUAAGUCUGAAGUAAAAGGCUGUGGCUUAACCAUAGUAUGCUUUGGAAACUGUCAAACUUGAGUGCAGAAGGGGAGAGUGGAAUUCC